CUCCAAAGAAGUCUUGGGCUUCCGGAAGAUCGGCUCCUGUCUUUCUUUCUCCCGGGGAGGAGGAGAGGAUUCUCGUGGUGCCCCUGAUGUCUGCUCCUGACUCAAACUCAUGGAAUAACAUGGUUUCUGAGGCUUAUUAUGAGAUACAAGAUGCUGUUUACACAUGUAAUAUUAGCAAGGGUAAUCUGCUAAAAUUAGUCCAACAUAGUAUGUGUGUAGAUUUGCAACAUUC
This 232-nucleotide long non-coding RNA is filed under the name Manihot esculenta (cassava). RNAcentral describes it as "long non-coding RNA (MESC_LNC011418)". The record is from RNAcentral. Lineage: Eukaryota; Viridiplantae; Streptophyta; Magnoliopsida; Malpighiales; Euphorbiaceae.